GACGAACGCUGGCGGCGUGCUUAACACAUGCAAGUCGAACGGAAAGGCCCUGCUUUUGUGGGGUGCUCGAGUGGCGAACGGGUGAGUAACACGUGAGUAACCUGCCCUUGACUUUGGGAUAACUUCAGGAAACUGGGGCUAAUACCGGAUAUGAGCUCCUGCUGCAUGGUGGGGGUUGGAAAGUUUCGGCGGUUGGGGAUGGACUCGCGGCUUAUCAGCUUGUUGGUGGGGUAGUGGCUUACCAAGGCUUUGACGGGUAGCCGGCCUGAGAGGGUGACCGGCCACAUUGGGACUGAGAUACGGCCCAGACUCCUACGGGAGGCAGCAGUGGGGAAUAUUGCACAAUGGGCGGAAGCCUGAUGCAGCAACGCCGCGUGCGGGAUGACGGCCUUCGGGUUGUAAACCGAUUUCGCCUGUGACGAAGAGUGAGUGACGGUAAUGGGUAAAGAAGCACCGGCUAACUACGUG
This 468-nucleotide ribosomal RNA is filed under the name uncultured bacterium. RNAcentral's name for it is "partial 16S ribosomal RNA". It matches the Rfam family "Bacterial small subunit ribosomal RNA", at positions 28 to 507 of the family's 1533-position model. The record is from RNAcentral.